RNAcentral lists this ribosomal RNA (252 nucleotides) under uncultured bacterium. RNAcentral's name for it is "partial 16S ribosomal RNA". It matches the Rfam family "Bacterial small subunit ribosomal RNA", at positions 524 to 776 of the family's 1533-position model. The record is from RNAcentral.
UACGGAGGAUGCGAGCGUUAUCCGGAAUCAUUGGGUUUAAAGGGUGCGUAGGCGGCGCGUUAAGUCAGCGGUAAAAGCCCGGGGCUCAACCCCGGCGAGCCGUUGAGACUGGCGUGCUUGAGUUGGAGAGAAGUAUGCGGAAUGCGCGGUGUAGCGGUGAAAUGCAUAGAUAUCGCGCAGAACUCCGAUUGCGAAGGCAGCAUGCCGGCUCCAGACUGACGCUGAGGCACGAAAGCGUGGGGAUCGAACAGG